UACAGAGGGCUCAAGCGUUGUUCGGAUUCAUUGGGCGUAAAGGGUGCGUAGGUGGCGGGGUAAGUCCGGUGUGAAAUCUCGGAGCUCAACUCCGAAACUGCACUUGAUACUGCCUUGCUCGAGUACUGGAGAGGUGAGUGGAAUUUACGGUGUAGCAGUGAAAUGCGUAGAUAUCGUAAGGAAGACCAGUGGCGAAGGCGAAUCUCUGGACAGUUACUGACACUGAGGCACGAAGGCCAGGGGAGCAAACGGG
This 253-nucleotide ribosomal RNA is filed under the name uncultured bacterium. Its description in RNAcentral is "partial 16S ribosomal RNA". It matches the Rfam family "Bacterial small subunit ribosomal RNA", at positions 524 to 776 of the family's 1533-position model. The record is from RNAcentral.